AUCUCUUUGGGGACAUCCGAUAAAAUUGGAACGAUACAGAGAAGAUUAGCAUGACCCUUGCACAAGAAUGACACGCACAAAUCGAGAAAUGGUUCAAAUUUUU
This 103-nucleotide small nuclear RNA is filed under the name Capsicum annuum. Lineage: Eukaryota; Viridiplantae; Streptophyta; Magnoliopsida; Solanales; Solanaceae. The record is from RNAcentral.